This 381-nucleotide unclassified non-coding RNA is filed under the name Hevea brasiliensis (rubber tree). Lineage: Eukaryota; Viridiplantae; Streptophyta; Magnoliopsida; Malpighiales; Euphorbiaceae. The record is from RNAcentral.
GAAUUUUCCCGUCAAUGAACUUUUUAUCAACUGAACUUUCGCUGAAUUACUCUUUGAAAUUCUGCUAAACUUGUCAUCAAUAUCAUAAUAAACAAGGAAAAAAAAGAAACAUGUUACAAUUUUCCAACUCUUCUUGGUUUUCAUUUUCAACUCUCUUUCAAGAAAUAAGCUACGGGAGAGAGCAAACAUGGAAGAAGAACUCCUACCAAAGUCUACACUUAUUUUGCAAGUUAAUCCCAUCAAUGACUUGCCACCACCACCAAGUGAAUCUUCGGCCACUGUUGUGGUGUUUCUGAGUACCAUAGUUGCUAUUUGCGGUUCCUUUGGCACAGGGUGUGCUGUAAGUUCUCUCUAUUUCUAUCCUCUUUUUUAAGUUUUCGC